CCCGCACAAGCGGCGGAGCAUGCGAUUAAUUCGAUGCAACGCGAAGAACCUUUACCAAGGCUUGACAUACACCGGUAACGCCCAGAGAUGGUGCCCCUUGUGGUCGGUGGACAGGUGGUGCAUGGUUGUCGUCAGCUCGUGUCGUGAGAUGUUGGGUUAAGUCCCGCAACGAGCGCAACCCUCGUCCUAUGUUGCCAGCGGGUCAUGCCGGGGACUCAUGGGAGACUGCCGGGGUCAACUCGGAGGAAGGUGGGAUGACGUCAAAUCAUCAUGCCCCUUAUGUCUUGGGCUUCACGCAUGCUACAAUGGCCGGUACAAAGGGCUGCGAUACCGCGAGGUGGAGCGAAUCCCAGAAAGCCGGUCUCAGUUCGGAUUGGGGUCUGCAACUCGACCCCAUGAAGUCGGAGUCGCUAGUAAUCGCAGAUCAGCAACGCUGCGGUGAAUACGUUCCCGGGUCUU
Molecule: ribosomal RNA, 459 nt
Filed under: uncultured Cellulomonas sp.
Lineage: Bacteria; Bacillati; Actinomycetota; Actinomycetes; Micrococcales; Cellulomonadaceae
Description: bacterial SSU rRNA
Rfam family: Bacterial small subunit ribosomal RNA
Source: RNAcentral